Molecule: small RNA, 604 nt
Filed under: Carex baileyi
Lineage: Eukaryota; Viridiplantae; Streptophyta; Magnoliopsida; Poales; Cyperaceae
Description: eukaryotic LSU rRNA
Rfam family: 5.8S ribosomal RNA (bases 206-360)
Source: RNAcentral
CGACCGUCGAACACGUGACAGAAUGCUGCCGCGGAGGCGCUUGCCGCCUCCUCGGCCCCGCCGGCCUCCUCCCUCUCGCCCUUCCGGGCGCGUCGGUUGCUGGUCGGAAUACGGCGCGGGAUGACGCCAAGGAACACGGUAAAGCUGAGGCGCCGGCGAGCCGCUCGAGGUCUCCGUCGGUUGCCAAGGCCAACAGAAAAAAUAUGACUCUCGGCAACGGAUAUCUCGGCUCUCGCAUCGAUGAAGAACGCAGCGAAAUGCGAUACGUGGUGUGAAUUGCAGAAUCCCGUGAACCAUCGAGUCUUUGAACGCAAGUUGCGCCCGAGGGACCCUCCCGAGGGCACGCCUGCCUCAUGGGCGUUAGAAGCCCAUCCACGCUCGGUUGCCUGACUAAGGGCAGCGAUGCGGACAUUGGCCCUCCGAACCGCGAGGCGCGGUGGGCCUAAGUGUGCGGCCGUCGUACGUGGCCGGGAGCGGCGAGUGGUGGGCUACUGCGCGCGUCGCCCCGAGCCCCGUACCGACGCAGGGCCCUGUACGACCCCCUAACGAGGAGCAAGCCGCUGCGGCUCCGGCUGCGCGGCGCCUUCGGACCGAUACCCCAUGU